AUGAAUAACUCUGGAGCUGAUUUCUUCAGAAGUCACCACGGGCACCUAUGGGCUACGCAGCUCCUCCUCCUCCUCCACUGCCUUUUCUGGAGCCCUCACCAUCUCCCUCUGCCGUGUCUUCCAAGACCCUUGGGAAUUACGCCGUUUAAAUGCCGUUUUUGUAUCACUGCCAUGACAGAAGUCAGCAAGCCUGAAGGAAUCACAUCGCCUUGAAGCCACCGCAAGGACACGGAAAGUGGUUGAAAACAUAACUCAGCCUCCUCAGCGAGCACCUGGCUGUGCCCUCACCCAGAGGAGACUGUGGAAAGCCCAGUAAGUGGUUUUAAGGUUUAAGGUUUUAAUUCUGCCAAGGCUUUCAGGGAGAAGCCAGCAUGCAGGGAUGGUGUGAGUUUACAGUGUGUUGGCUGCUUCU
Molecule: long non-coding RNA, 412 nt
Filed under: Calidris pugnax (ruff)
Lineage: Eukaryota; Metazoa; Chordata; Aves; Charadriiformes; Scolopacidae
Description: lncRNA (ENSCPUG00000019364.1)
Source: RNAcentral